Molecule: ribosomal RNA, 585 nt
Filed under: uncultured bacterium
Lineage: Bacteria
Description: bacterial SSU rRNA
Rfam family: Bacterial small subunit ribosomal RNA
Source: RNAcentral
ACGGGUGAGUAGCGCGUGGAUAAUCUGCCCUGGUAUCUGGGAUAACAUUUCGAAAGGGGUGCUAAUACCGGAUAAGCCCACGGGGACUUUGGUCUUUGCGGGAAAAGGUGGGGACCUUCGGGCCUACUGUAUCAGGAUGAGUCCGCGUACCAUUAGCUGGUUGGCGGGGUAACGGCCCACCAAGGCGACGAUGGUUAGCUGGUCUGAGAGGAUGAUCAGCCACACUGGAACUGAGACACGGUCCAGACUCCUACGGGAGGCAGCAGUGGGGAAUUUUGCGCAAUGGGGGAAACCCUGACGCAGCAACGCCGCGUGAGUGAUGAAGGCCUUCGGGUCGUAAAGCUCUGUCAGAGGGAAAGAAGUGUAUUAUGGCUAAUACCCAUGAUACUUGACGGUACCCUCAAAGGAAGCACCGGCUAACUCCGUGCCAGCAGCCGCGGUAAUACGGAGGGUGCGAGCGUUGUUCGGAAUUAUUGGGCGUAAAGCGCGUGUAGGCGGUUUUUUAAGUCUGAUGUGAAAGCCCCGGGCUCAACCCGGGAAGUGCAUUGGAAACUGGGAGACUUGAAUACGGGAGAGGGUAGUGGA